AUGAACGCUGGCGGCGUGCCUAAUACAUGCAAGUCGAACGAGGUGCUUUUGUAGCAAUACGAAGGUAUCCUAGUGGCGAACGGGUGAGUAACGCGUUGGUGACCUGCCCCAAAGUGUGGGAUAACAGUCCGAAAGGAUUGCUAAUACCGCAUGUGGUCCUCGGAUUUAGAAACCGAUGACUAAAGCCGCAAGGCGCUUUGGGAGGGACCUGCGUCCCAUCAGCUAGUUGGUGAGGUAACGGCCCACCAAGGCUACGACGGGUAGGGGACCUGAGAGGGUGGCCCCCCACAAUGGAACUGAAACACGGUCCAUACACCUACGGGUGGCAGCAGUAGGGAAUAUUGCACAAUGGGCGAAAGCCUGAUGCAGCAACGCCGCGUGAGCGAUGAAGGCCUUCGGGUCGUAAAGCUCUUUUCUGGGAGAUGAGAAAGGACAGUAUCCCAGGAAUAAGUCUCGGCUAACUACGU
RNAcentral lists this ribosomal RNA (467 nucleotides) under uncultured bacterium. RNAcentral's name for it is "bacterial SSU rRNA". It matches the Rfam family "Bacterial small subunit ribosomal RNA", at positions 29 to 506 of the family's 1533-position model. The record is from RNAcentral.